This 376-nucleotide long non-coding RNA is filed under the name Gossypium barbadense (sea-island cotton). RNAcentral describes it as "long non-coding RNA (GBAR_LNC012865)". Lineage: Eukaryota; Viridiplantae; Streptophyta; Magnoliopsida; Malvales; Malvaceae. The record is from RNAcentral.
AGAGACACAACAAUCAAAGGGAGAAUUGGAAAUAGAAGCUGCAGGAGAUAAAGGAAAUACUGCAAAGAAUGAAAAUCAGAUCUUGAGAGAAAUUCAAUAUUCACAGCUACCAACAAAACUAGGAUUUCAACCUAACCUUCACUUCAACAUCGAAAGCAUAAAAGAAGUCGCGAUAACUCCUACAGUUGGAAUCCUAGAUUCAACCAAACAAUCAAUAGUGGCGUUCAAAGAUCCAAAUAAUCAUAUGGGAAAUCAGCAAGAAUGACUACCAUCCAAAAAUAAUAUGGGGCAAAAAAAGAAUUCACCCGUAGUAAGCACUAGUGGGGGGAAAACAAAUGGCAACACAAAAGGGCAAAAACUCAAUAAAAUAAUUCAG